CUGUCGGGGGCUGCUCGCCAUGGUUGCCGAGCUAGCAACAGGGGGAACCUUCGGCCAGGGAGGAAAAAAAAUGGGGCGAGCUCUGCUGGAAUUUCUGGGCGCCGUCCAAGGAAGCUGCUGCCGCUGCUUUGCGUAGUAGCCCGGCCAGGGGAGGAAGAAGGGCUGAGGGCACGCAGGGAGGUGGAGGCGCCAUGGGAGGGGGCGAGCAGAGCUGCUGCUCAGCCAUGGGAGAGAGGGGGCGCUGGGGAAGCUGCUGCUCCCUGCGCUGAAUCGGAUCGGAGGGAAGCUCGGCGUGUGCUGCUGGAGAUGGUCGGCUGGAGCAGAGGGACCUGCGCCCAUGGAGCAGGGAGGGGCGCCGAGGGAGGUGCUUGCUGCUCGCUAGAAGGGGGCACCGACCAUGGAGAGGAAAGGAGUCGUGCUCCCUGUUGCUGGCGUGGGGAAUCCAGGGAGGAAGAUGGCGUGGGGAGGGAGAGAAAGGCUGUUGGCGGCUAUGGGUUUUCUAGGGGUGGGAGUGCAAAAAUGCCUCCACUUGCUAGGAGAGGGGUCCUAUUUAUAGAAGGGGCACUAGGGUUAGGGUUCUCUCAUGGGCCAAAUGGGCCAGGCUGGAAUGGGCUUGGCCCAAAACACGUACUCGGGUCGCGCUAA
RNAcentral lists this unclassified non-coding RNA (645 nucleotides) under Zea mays. Its description in RNAcentral is "misc RNA Zm00001eb385160". Lineage: Eukaryota; Viridiplantae; Streptophyta; Magnoliopsida; Poales; Poaceae. The record is from RNAcentral.